UUUCGGUAGUAAUCAAUAGGCUUAAUGGUUUUUUUGCCAUGCUAAAUAUUUUUUGCACGUCAGUCUGAUCCCAAA
Molecule: small nucleolar RNA, 75 nt
Filed under: Vitis vinifera (wine grape)
Lineage: Eukaryota; Viridiplantae; Streptophyta; Magnoliopsida; Vitales; Vitaceae
Description: Small nucleolar RNA Z122
Rfam family: Small nucleolar RNA Z122
About the family: Z122 is a member of the C/D class of snoRNA which contain the C (UGAUGA) and D (CUGA) box motifs. Most of the members of the box C/D family function in directing site-specific 2'-O-methylation of substrate RNAs.
Source: Rfam by way of RNAcentral